UACGAAGGACCCGAGCGUUAUCCGGAUUUAUUGGGCUUAAAGCGCACUGAGGCGGAUUGCUAAGUCAGGGGUGAAAUCCUGGAGCUCAACUCCAGACCUGCCUUUGAUACUGGCGAUCUUGAGUCUGGGAGAGGCGAGUGGAACUGCGAGUGUAGAGGUGAAAUUCGUAGAUAUUCGCAAGAACACCAGUGGCGAAGGCGGCUCACUGGCC
RNAcentral lists this ribosomal RNA (211 nucleotides) under uncultured prokaryote. RNAcentral describes it as "partial 16S ribosomal RNA". It matches the Rfam family "Bacterial small subunit ribosomal RNA", at positions 524 to 734 of the family's 1533-position model. The record is from RNAcentral.